This 24-nucleotide non-coding RNA is filed under the name Arabidopsis thaliana (thale cress). Lineage: Eukaryota; Viridiplantae; Streptophyta; Magnoliopsida; Brassicales; Brassicaceae. The record is from RNAcentral.
AAGGAUAUUGUGCUAUGAUACACC